GGCCAUGAUAGAUGUGGUCCAUUAGUCCUUUGGACCAAUCUUUCCCUUGUGUCUUUAGUUUUCUUCAUUCUUCCUUGCUUUUGAAUGGGUGAGACCAGUGGACUAUCCUAGAUGGCUGCUCACAGGCUUUUAAAGACUGUCUCGGUACUUGAUUCUGUUCCACUGGUCUAUGUGUCUAAAUGAAUGAUUUAUAAGGAUCGGCACAAAGCUGGUUCCUAUGAAGAUUAAAGAUGUCCUAAAUGUCUAGCUUUUCCAAGCUGUUGCACCGCUCCAUCAUCUCUAACAUCAACUAUUCCCUCUUGCCUCAGUACUCUCUGUCCUGUCUUUGGUUCUCUAAUUCCCUGCAACAUCUCACAAAACUUACAAACCAUACAAAGGAAAUGGCUCAUGCGGUUGUGCAGGCUGGCAAGUCCCAGAUCUGUGAGUCAGACACAGACUUCUCCCUGGCCAUCAGUCUCUGCCCAAAGGCACUCAGCUUUCUCACUCCGUGGGCUGGGAAGCUGACUGCGCUGUUUCUUGUCGGUCUCUGCUGCAAGUCUCUCCUUCUUUGGUGGUGGUGGGCUCUCCCUCUCUCCUCUGGAAUUGGCUCUCUUUUAAGGGGCUUUAUUCAUUCAAGGGAGUAAUACGAAUUGUUAGAAUUUCAAGAAUAUGGGUCAGGUCAUUCCAAAGAAAUUCCAGGCAAGAGGGCCUUUCGGUUCCCUUCAGUGACAUUAUCAGCUGGUGGUGCUCACAUCUACAUUUUCCAACAUCACUGUGAAAACGAGCUGAAGCAAAUAAAAAUAUUUGCCAUCCUACUUCACACUAAAUGGAAUCAAGAGAGACUGCUGGUGGCAAAAAGGUCCUCUGGAAGUAAGCAAGAAGUUCCUUAAAGUAACAGCCCAAAGUGUUCUAGAAAGACUGCUGGGACAUGAUGAUACUAAAGGGACUGGGAGACGUCAGCCUAUGGAGACAUACCAGGCCUGCCGAUUUUCAUGCCCUGCCAUGAAUAUCAUGAGAAGAAGUACAGCCAGAAUGCUCUUUAGAAGCAAGGAUGGCGCUGACUUCAUCUCAAAAACAUUGGAAAUGUUAUCGUCGGAGGGACCAGUGGAGGACAUCAUGCUUGGUAAAGUAGAGGGUCAGCGGUAAAGAGGAAGACCCUCAAGGAGAUGGACUGACAUGGUGGCUGCAACGAUGGGCUCAAAUAUAGGAACAAUUGUAAGGAUGGUGCAUGACCAGGCAGUGUUUCAUUCAGAGUUCCUAUGAGUCAGAACCAACUCAUGCACCUAAUAACAUCUGUCAUCCAGUCCAAGGAGGCUGCCUGCUCUGGGAUAAAAAAUCUUACUUCCAAUUGCAACCAACGUUACUAAAUUACUUGUAUAUACAUUUUUGAAGGAGAAACUAAUUGCUCUGUAAACUUUCACCUAAAGCACAAUAAAAAAUAAAAAUAAAGAAACCUUACUUCCCCUGUUCCUCUGAAUUUUUUCACUCACCCAAAGAUUUUGUAGCUAAACAGAGCCCUUAUGAAAAUACUAGCCUAGCAUCCUUCCCACAAGAUCUAAGGCUUGAGAUCAACUCUGCCUCUGCAUAUAUCACCAGCCCCUGCAUUCCGUCACUCCAAUUCUAACUGCUCAACUCCAGGCGCUGGCCAUCACUUGAAACCUCACUAAGAAAGCACAAUGGAUUUAUGAUGGGAGCCCCUGGGUGAGGCAAACGGUUAAUGUGCUCACUGCUAACAGGAAGGUUGGCAGUUUCAGUCCACCCAGAGGUGACCUGGAAGAAAAGGCCUGGCAAUCUACUUCCAAAAACAUCCACCAUCGAGAACCCUAUUGAGCAGAGUUCUACUCUGACACACAUGAGGUCGUCAUGAGUCAGAAUCAACUAGAUGACAAUCAGUUGGUUUGUUCGUUGGGUUUAUGAUGAGGCUCACUACUCAUCAGAGACUGGAUGGGGUCACAACCUUCAUCAUUUGUGUCCAAAACCACAUGGGUCCCUGUAGUAAAAUCACUACAUUCAUUCUAAAACUACUAACCCUUUUUGUUUAAUUAUCACAAUCAAGAACUAUAAAUUAUAAGGAUUAUAAUUGUAUACCAGAAAACGUCCUUUGAUUCUGUAAG
This is a long non-coding RNA of Loxodonta africana (African savanna elephant), 2093 nucleotides long. RefSeq lists it as uncharacterized. Lineage: Eukaryota; Metazoa; Chordata; Mammalia; Proboscidea; Elephantidae. The record is from RefSeq and is a predicted model, not a curated record. The transcript has 5 exons.